RNAcentral lists this ribosomal RNA (497 nucleotides) under uncultured bacterium. Its description in RNAcentral is "partial 16S ribosomal RNA". It matches the Rfam family "Bacterial small subunit ribosomal RNA", at positions 28 to 507 of the family's 1533-position model. The record is from RNAcentral.
GAUGAACGCUGGCGGCGUGCCUAAUACAUGCAAGUCGAGCGAACAGACGAGGAGCUUGCUCCUCUGACGUUAGCGGCGGACGGGUGAGUAACACGUGGAUAACCUACCUAUAAGACUGGGAUAACUUCGGGAAACCGGAGCUAAUACCGGAUAAUAUAUUGAACCGCAUGGUUCAAUAGUGAAAGACGGUUUUGCUGUCACUUAUAGAUGGAUCCGCGCCGCAUUAGCUAGUUGGUAAGGUAACGGCUUACCAAGGCAACGAUGCGUAGCCGACCGGAGAGGGGGGCCGCCCACCAGGGAGCGGAACCAGCGACAAGACUACUAGGGGAGGGCGCAGUAGGAUACUCUAGGCAGGGGGCGAAAGCCUGACGGAACAGCCCCAAGUGAGGGAUAAAGGUGUGGGGUUCGAAAAAUUGUUUUUUGAGGAAAAAAAAAAUUGGAAAUUAACUAUACACGUCUGGACGGUACUUAAUAAAAAAGCCCCGGCUAACUACGGG